Cydia pomonella (codling moth) is the source of this 475-nucleotide long non-coding RNA. RefSeq lists it as uncharacterized. The transcript has 3 exons. NCBI's taxonomy places the organism in Eukaryota, Metazoa, Arthropoda, Insecta, Lepidoptera, Tortricidae. The record is from RefSeq and is a predicted model, not a curated record.
GUGUCGCGAAGUACGCGAUGAUUGUAAAUAAUAGACAGCAACACUUAAGCCCGGAAACGUAAAAUAAAGAACAUGAAAUUUAGUCUAUGAAAUUACAAGUAUGCAGUGACAUUGACAGUAGUGACAAGUACAAACAGGUUUCAUAAACGCGGCUAUCGACAAACAACUUCGAAUCCUGUUGUUAAUUAUCAAAUUGCUUGAGAAAUCCAGUGUUUCAUAAUUGGAAAGUGCUCACAAAUCAAAUAUUAAAGGAAAUAAUUCAUUAUAUCGUCAGGUAACUUCAUAGAUGCUUUAAGAGGAAAUUACAUACUACAUAUCAACAUCAUUGCCCAGUGGUGGAGAGAAUGCAUUGCUGUAGUAUUUGAAGAAAAUCUAAUAAAAGAAACUAGGUUCAAUUAAUGACAAGGUAUGUAAAUGUAAGUUUAGAACCCCUGGUGUAUUAAAAGGGGACAAGUUAAAGCCUUUUUUAAUGAGA